RNAcentral lists this ribosomal RNA (722 nucleotides) under Vibrio sp. J821. RNAcentral describes it as "bacterial SSU rRNA". It matches the Rfam family "Bacterial small subunit ribosomal RNA", at positions 49 to 752 of the family's 1533-position model. The record is from RNAcentral. Lineage: Bacteria; Pseudomonadati; Pseudomonadota; Gammaproteobacteria; Vibrionales; Vibrionaceae.
UAACACAUGCAAGUCGAGCGGAAACGAGUUAUCUGAACCUUCGGGGAACGAUAACGGCGUCGAGCGGCGGACGGGUGAGUAAUGCCUAGGAAAUUGCCCUGAUGUGGGGGAUAACCAUUGGAAACGAUGGCUAAUACCGCAUAAUGCCUACGGGCCAAAGAGGGGGACCUUCGGGCCUCUCGCGUCAGGAUAUGCCUAGGUGGGAUUAGCUAGUUGGUGAGGUAAUGGCUCACCAAGGCGACGAUCCCUAGCUGGUCUGAGAGGAUGAUCAGCCACACUGGAACUGAGACACGGUCCAGACUCCUACGGGAGGCAGCAGUGGGGAAUAUUGCACAAUGGGCGCAAGCCUGAUGCAGCCAUGCCGCGUGUGUGAAGAAGGCCUUCGGGUUGUAAAGCACUUUCAGUCGUGAGGAAGGUGGUAGAGUUAAUAGCUCUAUCAUUUGACGUUAGCGACAGAAGAAGCACCGGCUAACUCCGUGCCAGCAGCCGCGGUAAUACGGAGGGUGCGAGCGUUAAUCGGAAUUUCUGGGCGUAAAGCGCAUGCAGGUGGUUUGUUAAGUCAGAUGUGAAAGCCCGGGGCUCAACCUCGGAAUAGCAUUUGAAACUGGCAGACUAGAGUACUGUAGAGGGGGGUAGAAUUUCAGGUGUAGCGGUGAAAUGCGUAGAGAUCUGAAGGAAUACCGGUGACGAAGCGGCCCCUGGACAGAUACUGACACUCAGAU